ACCUAGGUGCACCAACAACUAUCUCCUGGCAUGCCUGUGCCUGCACGUCUUCAUUUAUCAUCAGAGAACAGAGGAUGCACAGUCCUUUUAGCAACCUGGACAGACCAGAGUGAAAGGGGCUUCGGAUCAGGAGAAAGGGGUGUGUCCUUCUAUUUACAUCUGCCUGGCAAAAAACUGUAUGCGAGCCUGGAAGAAGGACAGAGCCCAACAGAUAUCAUGGAUUUUGACUCUCACUGCUUCCUUUGGCUGCUAGUUUUUGCAGGGCCUGGACUCUUUCAUUUUCUACUCCUCCAGGAUCAAUGACACACAACAGUGAGAUGCCUGGUAAGGGGACAAGUACAGCAGCCUCUUGCCCCAAAAGAAGCCAAGCCAUUCAGCCCUCAGGGGUACUGAGCCCACAUCAUCAACCUCAAUUCACACCAGAUUUUAACAACUAAAGAAAUAAAAGCUGCAAGCAAUCUAAUUGUCCUCUUCUUUAUUACUACUAGUGGCAGUGUUCUAUCCAUAUUUACCUCCUAAGAUUCAAAUUCCCGGGCAAGCUACAGUGAAAAGAAUGACAUCACAGCAAAAUAACUAUUGCGAUGUGAACGGC
This 592-nucleotide long non-coding RNA is filed under the name Fukomys damarensis (Damara mole-rat). RNAcentral describes it as "lncRNA (ENSFDAG00000027889.1)". The record is from RNAcentral. Lineage: Eukaryota; Metazoa; Chordata; Mammalia; Rodentia; Bathyergidae.